AUCAACAGCCUCAUUCAUGUAGC
This 23-nucleotide non-coding RNA is filed under the name Cricetulus griseus (Chinese hamster). The record is from RNAcentral. Lineage: Eukaryota; Metazoa; Chordata; Mammalia; Rodentia; Cricetidae.